GAUGAACGCUGGCGGCGUGCCUAAUACAUGCAAGUCGAGCGAACAGAUAAGGAGCUUGCUCCUUUGACGUUAGCGGCGGACGGGUGAGUAACACGUGGGUAACCUACCUAUAAGACUGGAAUAACUCCGGGAAACCGGGGCUAAUGCCGGAUAACAUUUAGAACCGCAUGGUUCUAUAGUGAAAGAUGGUUUUGCUAUCACUUAUAGAUGGACCCGCGCCGUAUUAGCUAGUUGGUAAGGUAACGGCUUACCAAGGCAACGAUACGUAGCCGACCUGAGAGGGUGAUCGGCCACACUGGAACUGAGACACGGUCCAGACUCCUACGGGAGGCAGCAGUAGGGAAUCUUCCGCAAUGGGCGAAAGCCUGACGGAGCAACGCCGCGUGAGUGAUGAAGGUCUUCGGAUCGUAAAACUCUGUUAUUAGGGAAGAACAAAUGUGUAAGUAACUGUGCACGUCUUGACGGUACCUAAUCAGAAAGCCACGGCUAACUACGUG
This 497-nucleotide ribosomal RNA is filed under the name uncultured bacterium. RNAcentral describes it as "partial 16S ribosomal RNA". It matches the Rfam family "Bacterial small subunit ribosomal RNA", at positions 28 to 507 of the family's 1533-position model. The record is from RNAcentral.